AAAGAAAUUUUAAUAAAAUAAAGGCUAUUAAUGUUUCAUAAUCUAACACUAUUCGACUCUUAAUUAUCUAAUUAUUAUUAAUUUUUAGUUUUGCAGUAACAACUCGUAUCAAUCUAUAAUCGAACCAAUCUAUCUCAUCUUAUUAAGUCUAAGUAAUUAAAUCUAAUGCACGUUCUUUUUCGUUUCAAAGUAUAAUUUUUAAGCAUCAUAUAUAUAUGUAUCUAAUUUAUUGAAAAAUAAAUAAUCAAAGAGAAUCACAUUAGUGUUCAAUCAAAUAAUCUCUUAACUAUCAAGAAUACAUGAUAUUAAAAAUGAAAAGAUAAUUCUCCAAUCAAUCAUGUGAAGCAACAACCAUAAUCAUUAAAGAACAUAUAUAGCGAAUGAAUUAUAUAAAAAAAAACAAUUAUUUUCUUCCUCUGAGCCAACACCUCCACCAGUUUCCCCAACCAACAAUGGAUGAACCUGGCCCCUCCGUACCAGGACCCUCAACCCAAUCUUCCAAACGACCAGCUCAACCAUCCAAAGUUGACAAAGCCACCCAAACUUCCCCUAAGUAUACUCCGAAGUGUACUCCCAGAGACUAUAAUUGCCCUUAUCCACCAUGCCGUGGUCCCUCCUGUAAGCAUCCAAAGCUCUCCAAAACUUUCUUCCAAAAGCAUCCUCACUCUGGUGAUACGGACCCAGAUGAAACCGAAAGCUCAUCCGAAGACGAGUACAUGAAUCUCCGCUCUCCAUAAAGUUGUUUGUCUUGUUGCUUUCAAUAAAGUAGUUUGUCUUGUUGUCAUAAUGAUGUUUCGCUUUAUGUUUGCAUAAUUAUUAAAGUUUGUUUUUACUUUAAUACUUUUGUCCAAGUCAUGCUUUAAUUAUUAAAGCACUUUUGUCUUUUAUAAUAAUUAAAGUUGUGCAAUUAUGUAAAAGAUAGGGGUCCUGUCCUAUCUUCUCAAGAAUCCUCCUCUAUAUAAAGGAUUCUCCCCUUGCUUGUAAGAUAUAGAAGUUUGAAAGAAAAAAACUCGUGUUUUCUCUUACAACAUGAAUCCCUAAAACUCUUCUCUCUCUCUGCAAAUGAAGCUCUAAGAAAGAAAAAGAAUAAAGAAUUAAAUUUGUUCAUUUUGAAAACCUAAGGAAGUAUGCUCUGCACUUGCCUUUUCUAAGGAUCCUGUGCAUCAGAAAACUUUUGAUCAUUUCUUAUCUGGUUUGGUACCCUGUUUUAGACUAAAGGAAAGUCUGUUUUGGGUUGUAUAACCCGAGAAAAAUGUUUUAAAAGUUUUGCGAAAGUAUAUCGGCUGGAAACCCGAGCUUGCGGACUACUGGUCCUAAGAACAGUCUUAACUGUUGUAGUUCUGGUAUAACAACGCCACGUACUUUACCCUAACUGCUCAUCUUGUUCGGAGAAAUAGAAUUCCAAUUCAUCUUUGGCAGGAGAGUAGUCUGUGGUUGCUUGAAGAUGUUCAACCAACCGGAUGGCCUUUUCUUUUUUGUUGGGACAAUCUUUGGCAUAGUGGCCUUUUCUCUUGCAGAUGAAACAUCUGCUUGAUUGCUUUCGUUUGAAUUCUCUGGAGGAGGAAGAUUUUUUUCUGAAGAACCGGUAGGGCUUUCGGGAUCUGCGAGGUUUGGAUGAAGAGGGGGAGGUCGAGGCUGCGGUCUAGGUUUGGGUUUAGGUUUAGGUUUAGGUUUAGGUGGCGGUGGCAAAGGAUUGUCUCUGAAAAGAGUAUGAGUCAUGCCAAAUAACUUGGAAGGGUCAUAUUGUUUAAUAGGAGAGAGCAUAGAGGCAAAAGGAUGGUAAGUUGGACCGAUAGAAGGAAUAAGAGGUGAACUGGUGAAAAGGGUAGGUCUCUGUUUUUCAGAUUCAAUCUGAGCAAGUUCAGCUUUUAAUCGCCUGAUUUCCCUUUCCUUUUGGUCAAAUUCGGGACCAUUGUAUCUGUGGGCUAGCAUGGCUCGUAACUCUGAUAGUGACCAGUCUCAAGUGAUUUUCCACCAACAGUUACUCUCCCUUGAUACUACAGUUCCUAUCCCAUCCAUCAAACUCCAGAUCUUGCCCUCAAAAUUCCAAAGGCCCAUUCCAGCAAUUGGUCUUAUAGAUACUGGUGCCCAACGAAGCAUGUUGAACCCCCAUAUUCUUCCACCAGAAUAUUGGACCCAGUCUGAAGAACAUUUCAAAGCUGUCAAUGGCAAACUCUUCACCACCUCUUUGAUUACCAAAAAAUCCAUUGGUAUUCAAAUCUUCCCAAAUUGUGUCAUUUGGACCAAGGUUAUUGGUUCCACUCUUCCUAAUAAGGAUAUCUUAUUAGGAUUUGACAUCCUUCACCAAAUCAAACACCUCCAAAUCAUUCCCACUGGAAUCCGAGUCAAGUCCAUGUUCAAACCAUUCACAAACAUUCUGAAACUCUACAAUUUGUCUGAAACUCCCCAGUCUUACCAGGAUAUUUCAACCAAACUUUUGAGUUUCUGUCCAGAGUCCCAUUCUGAGUUCACCCAUCCAAAUCCAUUGUGGAAAAAUAAGUCUUUCUUCAUUAAGUUACCCUUCAAACUCAAUGAAGACAUUAACCCAACUAAAGCUACCCAUCCAGGAAUGAGUCCUUCUGACUUACUCCUAGCCCAACAAGAAUGUUCACAAUUGUUAGCCCAAGGUUUAAUCGAGCCCACAAGUUCCCAAUGGGCUUGCCAAGCCUUUUAUGUUGAAAAGCAUUCUGAAAUUGUCCGAGGAAAGAAACGCCUAGUCAUUGACUACCAGCCAUUAAACAUGUUUUUACAAGAUGACAAAUUCCCUUUACCUCGCCGACAAAGCAUGUUCACUUUUCUUAAAAAUGCCCAGAUCUUUUCAAAAUUUGAUUUAAAAUCUGGUUUUUGGCAACUCGGCAUUGAACCCUCCGAACGUUACAAAACCGCCUUUUGUAUUCCCAAUGCCCAUUUCCAAUGGACCGUCCUACCCUUUGGCCUCAAAACUGCCCCCUCCAUUUUCCAAAAAUCCAUGGUCCAAAUCUUCCAGCCCAUUUUGCAUCAUGCAUUGAUUUACAUUGACGAUAUUUUGCUUUUUUCAGGAUCGCAUGAAGAACAUCGCAACCUAUUGUCCCAAUUCUAUGAUAUUAUCCAAAGUCAUGGAAUCAUGUUAUCGGCCAAGAAAAGCACCAUUGCUACAGAUAAUAUUGAAUUCCUUGGUAUGAUCAUUAAAGAUGGACACUACCAGCCAGGAAAGCACAUUGCCCAAGAAUUGCUUCACUUUCCAGAUCAGCAACUUUCCAAAAGGCAAAUCCAACAGUUUCUCGGCAUUAUCAAUUACAUCCGUGAUUUCCUCCCACAUGUGGACCAUCACACUCAUCAUCUCUCGGCUUUAUUGAAAAAGAAGCCCCCAGAAUGGAAUGCUGACCACACACGUGCUGUCACUACUCUCAAGCAGAUUGCGCAAAAUCCGCCUCCUUUAAAGUUGAUUACUGAUGGCAAGCGCAUAUUACAGACAGACGCAAGUGAUGAAUCAUGGGGUGCCAUCCUCCUCGAAGAACUCAAUGACAAGGAACACUUUAUCGCUUACGCUAGUGGACAUUUUUCUGAAACACAGAAGCACUACCAUAGCGUGUUUAAAGAAAUCUUAGCGGUAAAGAAUGGCAUCAAAAAGUUUGAGUAUCAUCUGAUUGGACACCAUUUUCUCAUCCGAAUGGACAGCUCAGCCUUCCCCAAUAUCUUUCAUUUCAAAGGUAAAACUGUUCCCGAAAAAAUGUUACUCAGAUUAAAAGAUUGGUUUUCCAAAUAUGACUUUUCAGUCAAGCAUAUAAAGGGAUCCCAGAACCUCAUCCCUGAUAUGCUCUCCAGACUCUCUAAACCACAAGACCCUCUCACCCUGUUUUCCACCACCUACCAUUUUCCAAUUAUCUCCAUGGCUACCUCACUACCCCCAGAAGCUCUCACCAAGAAAACUUUUCCCUUCAACAAAACCUUCUCUUCUGUUUUUGAUAUCCAAGAAUUUGCAAGAAAAGCUCUCUUUCGCUUUUUCAUGAAAGCCUACCUUGUCACCGACCCUUUUCCUUUUUCCACUUUCCACCCAGAAAAUCUGUUCCUUACCGGUUUAACCCUUGAUCCGGCCAGGGACACCACUGAAGACGUGUUAUGGUACAUCUGGUGCCUAACAGUCCUUUACGCAACCAAGUUAGUCCUCCCCAUUUCUCCCACUCUGGACCACCUCCUUAAUCCAGAUAACGCCACCUCCCUUACCUGGACCCUACUUGAAUGGUUCUCCCCCAUCCCAUGGUGGAGAAAGAAACUGCAACAACUGUCCGAAAUUUACAACCUUGACCGUAUGCCUGCCCCUGAAGCACAAAUGUUCACAUCAGUUUUUAUUAUUCACAGGCCAUACUUCCAACAUCCAGACACCCAUCUCUUUUGGACUCAAGAUCAGGUAUAUGAAUGGUUCACUGCACCACAUAUAGCUGUGAUUGAAAAUGACAUACAAGACGUCCUGCACAAUUACCUUUGCCAAUUAAACCACCAACCUCCGCCACUUAAAGAUAUCUCUCACACCUCCUUAGGUCCACAACAUGACCUUCUCAUGAUACCCACUCCAUCUGCCAUAUCUAAACCUAAGUCCACUGGCAUCAUCAUCAAAGAAGAACGACCAGACUACACUGACUUCCUUUACCAAGACUCACAAGAUCCAUGGGAAGAUUUUCUUCCUCUGAGCCAACACCUCCACCAGUUUCCCCAACCAACAAUGGAUGAACCUGGCCCCUCCGUACCAGGACCCUCAACCCAAUCUUCCAAACGACCAGCUCAACCAUCCAAAGUUGACAAAGCCACCCAAACUUCCCCUAAGUAUACUCCGAAGUGUACUCCCAGAGACUAUAAUUGCCCUUAUCCACCAUGCCGUGGUCCCUCCUGUAAGCAUCCAAAGCUCUCCAAAACUUUCUUCCAAAAGCAUCCUCACUCUGGUGAUACGGACCCAGAUGAAACCGAAAGCUCAUCCGAAGACGAGUACAUGAAUCUCCGCUCUCCAUAAAGUUGUUUGUCUUGUUGCUUUCAAUAAAGUAGUUUGUCUUGUUGUCAUAAUGAUGUUUCGCUUUAUGUUUGCAUAAUUAUUAAAGUUUGUUUUUACUUUAAUACUUUUGUCCAAGUCAUGCUUUAAUUAUUAAAGCACUUUUGUCUUUUAUAAUAAUUAAAGUUGUGCAAUUAUGUAAAAGAUAGGGGUCCUGUCCUAUCUUCUCAAGAAUCCUCCUCUAUAUAAAGGAUUCUCCCCUUGCUUGUAAGAUAUAGAAGUUUGAAAGAAAUAAACUCGUGUUUUCUCUUACAACAUGAAUCCCUAAAACUCUUCUCUCUCUCUGCAAAUGAAGCUCUAAGAAAGAAAAAGAAUAAAGAAUUAAAUUUGUUCAUUUUGAAAACCUAAGGAAGUAUGCUCUGCACUUGCCUUUUCUAAGGAUCCUGUGCAUCAGAAAACUUUUGAUCAUUUCUUAUCUGGUUUGGUACCCUGUUUUAGACUAAAGGAAAGUCUGUUUUGGGUUGUAUAACCCGAGAAAAAUGUUUUAAAAGUUUUGCGAAAGUAUAUCGGCUGGAAACCCGAGCUUGCGGACUACUGGUCCUAAGAACAGUCUUAACUGUUGUAGUUCUGGUAUAACAACGCCACGUACUUUACCCUAACUGACAUUCUUGAAUUGAGAGUAAUAAAAUUGAUAUAACGAGCCAUGGAAACAAGCUUUGAAGAACUGCUGCUGCAGUGCUCCUCUUCCUCCCUGCCUCACAUAAUCCCCACGACCAUCCAUUAUGGGCGGAAUCCAAUCCUUAUAAUGCCCAUGACCAUCCGCUAUUUGCCGAAUCCAACCAAUUUUGAAAACAAUCUUUCUAAUUGACGCCACAAUCCUCGGCCCGUGUUUUCUGAUCGCAGAAUUGAAAUUCCUUCCAAAUGCAAAUUAAUCUUUACACUUAGCUCAGCCACGGCUUCUAUUAAUUCUUUAAACGCUUCACCAAAUUAUUAUUUUUCAUGUGCUUUUCAUCCAUUAUAUCUAAUUAAUUUCUCGUUCAAUACAAUAAUUUAAUUAAUUCAA
Molecule: long non-coding RNA, 6023 nt
Filed under: Citrus x clementina
Lineage: Eukaryota; Viridiplantae; Streptophyta; Magnoliopsida; Sapindales; Rutaceae
Description: Citrus clementina (C. clementina) long non-coding RNA (CCLE_LNC002368)
Source: RNAcentral